UUGGCGAACUCAGUGGAGACAAUGUGGCGCUGGAAGAGCACGAAAAGGAUAACGACUGGC
This 60-nucleotide small RNA is filed under the name Sinorhizobium meliloti 2011. RNAcentral's name for it is "putative ncRNA". Lineage: Bacteria; Pseudomonadati; Pseudomonadota; Alphaproteobacteria; Hyphomicrobiales; Rhizobiaceae. The record is from RNAcentral.